ACACCGCCCGUCGCUACUACCGAUUGAAUGGCUCGGUGAGGCCUUCGGACUGGCCCAGGGAGGUCGGCAACGACCACCCAGGGCCGGAAAGUUGGUCAAACCCGGUCAUUUAGAGGAAGUAAAAGUCGUAACAAGGUCUCCGUAGGUGAACCUGCGGAGGGAUCAUUA
This 168-nucleotide ribosomal RNA is filed under the name Cladosporium penidielloides. RNAcentral describes it as "partial 18S ribosomal RNA". It matches the Rfam family "Eukaryotic small subunit ribosomal RNA", at positions 1666 to 1831 of the family's 1831-position model. The record is from RNAcentral. Lineage: Eukaryota; Fungi; Ascomycota; Dothideomycetes; Cladosporiales; Cladosporiaceae.